This 230-nucleotide ribosomal RNA is filed under the name uncultured microorganism. RNAcentral's name for it is "partial 16S ribosomal RNA". It matches the Rfam family "Bacterial small subunit ribosomal RNA", at positions 524 to 752 of the family's 1533-position model. The record is from RNAcentral.
CACGUAGGCACCAAGCGUUGUCCGGAUUUAUUGGGCGUAAAGAGCUCGUAGGCGGUUCGGUAAGUCGGGUGUGAAAACUCUGGGCUCAACCCAGAGACGCCACCCGAUACUGCCGUGACUAGAGUGCGGUAGGGGAGCGGGGAAUUCCUGGUGUAGCGGUGAAAUGCGCAGAUAUCAGGAGGAACACCAGUGGCGAAGGCGCCGCUCUGGGCCGUAACUGACGCUGAGGA